Nymphaea colorata (pocket water lily) is the source of this 323-nucleotide long non-coding RNA. RefSeq lists it as uncharacterized. Lineage: Eukaryota; Viridiplantae; Streptophyta; Magnoliopsida; Nymphaeales; Nymphaeaceae. The transcript is spliced from 2 exons. The record is from RefSeq and is a predicted model, not a curated record.
UCGGCUACAAAGACAUAAAUCUAUUCUACAUUCACAUCAAACAACCUAACCGGAGUCCUGACUACCCAUUUCCCGCCGGAGGCGGGGGCGGGACGAUGGGCCGGAAGGUCGUCUCCGCCCUCCUUGUUUGGGUGGCGCUCGUUGCCGUAGCUGAGCGCUCGAGCUCCCAGUCUCAUGGGGAGACACAUUGGUUGCAGCAAGACGUGCGUUGCGGGGAAUUGUAAUUGUGAGUACCUUAGGUCUUCUUAAUCUGUAUCGACUAUAUAUAAACGACAUGUUAUGUGAUCUCAGAUGGAAUUAGAGCUUUGGUUUGUUGGAAUUUA